UGGGGAAUUUUGGACAAUGGGGGAAACCCUGAUCCAGCCAUCCCGCGUGUGCGAUGAAGGCCUUCGGGUUGUAAAGCACUUUUGGCAGGAAAGAAACGUCAUGGGUUAAUACCCCGUGAAUCUGACGGUACCUGCAGAAUAAGCACCGGCUAACUACGUGCCAGCAGCCGCGGUAAUACGUAGGGUGCAAGCGUUAAUCGGAAUUACUGGGCGUAAAGCGUGCGCAGGCGGUUCGGAAAGAAAGAUGUGAAAUCCCAGAGCUCAACUUUGGAACUGCAUUUUUAACUACCGGGCUAGAGUGUGUCAGAGGGAGGUGGAAUUCCGCGUGUAGCAGUGAAAUGCGUAGAUAUGCGGAGGAACACCGAUGGCGAAGGCAGCCUCCUGGGAUAACACUGACGCUCAUGCACGAAAGCGUGGGGAGCAAACAGG
RNAcentral lists this ribosomal RNA (429 nucleotides) under Acidobacteriota bacterium. Its description in RNAcentral is "Acidobacteria bacterium partial 16S ribosomal RNA". It matches the Rfam family "Bacterial small subunit ribosomal RNA", at positions 355 to 776 of the family's 1533-position model. Lineage: Bacteria; Pseudomonadati; Acidobacteriota. The record is from RNAcentral.